RNAcentral lists this small RNA (520 nucleotides) under Vigna angularis var. angularis. RNAcentral's name for it is "Non-protein coding transcript". Lineage: Eukaryota; Viridiplantae; Streptophyta; Magnoliopsida; Fabales; Fabaceae. The record is from RNAcentral.
AAAGCAGAAGGCAUGUGCACAAGUGCUGGUAGCAAAGCAUAAACAAAAAACAUAGAAGGUUAUUCCAAACACAUAUAUGUUGCCAAAGGAGUGAUAUAGCAGGAUUGGUUCUGGUACUACGAGAGAUUCCUGUCUAACUAGAAGGGAACCCUCUACUUUAGCCAUUCUGCUUUUGCAUAAUUGCAUGUGUCUUUGCCCCGUGACUGUUGUAAGCAUUACCAGGACGUUGCUUUUUUUUCUAUCAUGCAUGCAAUUCGUUCAGCAGUUUAACAUGUUAAUGCCUUUCAAUUUGUCUUUUCUUUUUCUUCGGAUCUAAUAAAGUUUCAUGCUUUCACUUUUAAUAAUUUCAUUUUGGAGUUUAUCAGUUUUGCAUGGAGUAUCAAGAGACAAUUUUUGAGCACCCGUGUAUACUAUGCAAGACAAUAGGUUUACAUAGUUUGGUACAGGCGACAAACCAUUCUGAUUCAAAAAAUUCCAUUGCAAUCAAAGUUCACAAGAAAUAGACAGAUUACUGAACACU